Molecule: ribosomal RNA, 464 nt
Filed under: uncultured bacterium
Lineage: Bacteria
Description: bacterial SSU rRNA
Rfam family: Bacterial small subunit ribosomal RNA
Source: RNAcentral
AUUGAACGCUGGCGGCAUGCCUUACACAUGCAAGUCGAACGGCAGCACGGGAGCAAUCCUGGUGGCGAGUGGCGAACGGGUGAGUAAUAUAUCGGAACGUGCCCAGUCGUGGGGAUAACGUAGCGAAAGCUACGCUAAUACCGCAUACGAUCUAUGGAUGAAAGCGGGGGAUCGCAAGACCUCGCGCGAUUGGAGCGGCCGAUAUCAGAUUAGGUAGUUGGUGAGGUAAAGGCUCACCAAGCCGACGAUCUGUAGCUGGUCUGAGAGGACGACCAGCCACACUGGGACUGAGACACGGCCCAGACUCCUACGGGAGGCAGCAGUGGGGAAUUUUGGACAAUGGACGCAAGUCUGAUCCAGCCAUUCCGCGUGCAGGAUGAAGGCCCUCGGGUUGUAAACUGCUUUGUACGGAACGAAAGGUUUGUCUUAAUACGAUGAGCUCAUGACGGUACCGUAAGAAUAAG